UAGGGAGGGUUCUCUGAGGGUUCUCAGAGGCUCAAUUUAUGUAACCUUGAGAAAACCUUUAGAGAACAUUCUGUGAGAGUUCUCUAAAGGAUAUUUUUCUGUAACCUUCAGAGAACCUUGAUGGGAUGUUCCCUGGGGGGUUUUCAGAAGGUUAAUUUGUGAAACCUCUGUGUAACAUUUAGAGUACAUACCCCUAAGGAUAUUUUUGAGUGUCGUCUAAAGGUUAUUGUUGAAAAACCGUCACAGUACCUUUUAGGGAAUGUUUUCCAAAGGUUCUCUGAGAGAUAAUUUCGUAAAGUUGAAAUGUGUGGGUUAGGGGUUAAAGUUGAAACUUCAGUCCAUAUAGUGAAGUGUUAUUAUAUGUUAUUAUAUAAUAUAUUAUAUAGUUAUAAAGGAGUUCUUAUCUAUCGCUAUGACCAUCUUUCAUCUAUCUUUCUUCCUAUGACCAUCUGAUUUACAGUACAAUCAAAAACGUGUCAUUACACACAUUUGAAAAAAAGUCAUUAACUGGACAUUUAAUCCAAUUCAUGAAUUAAACAUUCGCAAGCAAGAUUCUAAGAUGUUCGGGAAAGUGGAGCGAGUUAUCAACGGCUGUGGAAAACGGUUCAAUACAGCUUCCAGCUCACUGAACAGCGGUCUGUCCUGUCUGUUGAUGUGGAUGGAUUCAGUCAAUGAAUAGAGGCCUUGAGAAAGCUCCAGUUCACAUCGUCAGCACAUACCAAGAACACCACUGAAGACAUCAGACCUGAUGUCAGCUAAAGACUUGGUUUCGCUGCAGUGAAGGCUGUUGGUCGUCCAGCAGACAGUACGAGUUUUCUCUCUGGGGCUGUGGAGGUACUGAUGCCUGUGGGAGACGAUAUGGUGCUGAUUGGCCCUGAAACUCCAUUUGGACAUGUGUUAUUUGUUGUUAAUAUAAGAACUGAUUUUAACUGUUAGAACACCACAAGCUGGCUGUGGGUAAUUGUGACAUCAUAAUUUUGGAGGAGCCAUCUUUGGGCUAACUCCAACCACUUCAGCCCUUCCUCCACCCAUGAGAAGUGUCCACUAGGAGAUGGAAAAAUAAUGAAUCUGAUGGUUGUGGAAAAAACAGUAUUUUGGUGAUUGCCAUGUGUGAGAUAUUUAAGUUUAAUUAAACAUAAAUUAGCUAUAACCUCCGUCAUAGACAGUUAUGAUAAGUGAUGGAAACAAGAGCCAGAAUCAUUUCAACUCUUCAAGGCAACAAACUGUUCAUUAAGAUCUGGCUUUUUUUGAUUGUUAUGAAUCACAAUAUUAGAUUAUCUUGUUAUUUUAUAAUUGCAAUAUCACAUAAUUUCAAUAAAAUUAGAUCACUUUGA
Molecule: long non-coding RNA, 1334 nt
Organism: Acanthopagrus latus (yellowfin seabream)
Lineage: Eukaryota; Metazoa; Chordata; Actinopteri; Spariformes; Sparidae
Exons: 4
Source: RefSeq, a predicted model, not a curated record